AUUGAACGCUGGCGGCAGGUCUAACACAUGCAAGCCGAACGGCAGCGGGGGGUAGCUUGCUACCCCGCCGGCGAGUGGCGGACGGGUGAGUAAUGCCUGGGGAGCUGCCCAAUCGAGGGGGAUACCAGUUGGAAACGACUGCUAAUACCGCAUACGCCCUGAGGGGGAAAGGUGGGGAUCUUCGGACCUACCGCGAUUGGAUGCACCCAGGGGGGAUUAGCUAGUUGGUGAGGUAACGGCUCACCAAGGCGACGAUCUCUAGCUGGUCUGAGAGGAUGACCAGCCACACUGGAACUGAGAACCGGUCCAGACUCCUACGGGAGGCAGCAGUGGGGAAUAUUGCACAAUGGGGGAAACCCUGAUGCAGCCAUGCCGCGUGCGUGAAGAAGGCCUUAGGGUUGUAAAGCACUUUCAGUGGGGAGGAAAGGGUGGAAGCUAAUACCCUUCAUCUGUGACGUUACCCACAGAAGAAGCACCGGCUAACUCCGUGCCAGCCGCCGCGGUAA
Molecule: ribosomal RNA, 506 nt
Filed under: uncultured bacterium
Lineage: Bacteria
Description: partial 16S ribosomal RNA
Rfam family: Bacterial small subunit ribosomal RNA
Source: RNAcentral